CGCACUUAAUAACCACUUGCUGAACGAAUCAGUGCGUUUCCCGAAUCUGUCUGUGUGUCCCCAGGAUCCCAUCAGCAAACGGCAGCCUGAGAACCAGCCCCAGUGCCCCGAGGCGACCGGGGCGGGAAGGGACCGCGACCCAGGAGCAAUGCCGUUCGUCUCACCCACCCAGGCUUCGGUGGCGCUGCCCGUUCGCCCGGCCGGAGGGAUCCGGGGUCAGGCUCCCCACAUGGCCAUCCUCGGAGCCAUGCCCCGGCCCAACGCUCGCUCACGAGACCGUACACCUACCUGGACCAGCUCUGCCUUGCAGCUAAGGCCGCUUCACCCGGGAGACGCUAACUUCCGGCCCCCGGCGGAAGCGGAAACAGCGCUUUGGUUUCCCGCCCACUCCUUAAGCUAGUGUGGACACCGCCUCCUUCAACUGUUGAUCCCUGCGAACUUGUGACGUCUGCUAUGGCGCAUGCGCUCCCGUGGAGGCUCCCACCCUGAGAACAAGGACACAGGGUGAAGGUGGCCACAGAUUCAGAGCUCUGACAGCCAGGAGCCUGUGAGUCAGUGGGAAGAGGCCCGGUGGCUGUGAGUUUCCACGAUGGUUGGGGUUAACCCUGAGGGCUGAGCUGCUAUCACAGCUAGCUGGCAACGUGACUAUGCUGGGUCUCACCAUGCAGCGCAGGCUGGCCUGGAACCCGAUGUGUAGACCAUGGUCCUGUGCUCAGAGACAAGCCUAUCUCUGUCUUCAGCCUGCUGGAACUGAAGGCGAGGAGCACCAAGCCAGCUGUUCAUCUUCAGCAGGACUUUGCUGUGCUGCCAGACUGGCCCGGAAGUUCUAGACCCAAGUGGUCCUCCUGCUUCACUCCUGUGUGUCUGGGACCACAAGUUCAGCCUUCAUAUCGUGAUGUUUACUUAAAAUCACAUCGAAGCCCGGGCGUGAUGGCAGCUGCCUAUAAUCCCAGCAGGUGUGUGGUGGGGGAGGGGACAGAAACAGGAGGUCCUAGAGUGCAAGGCCAGCCUGUGCCACAUGAGCUGAUGGCUCAGUGGUUAAGAGCACUGGCUGCUCUUCUAGAGGUCAUUAGUUCAAUAUUCAGCAACCGCAUGGUGGCUCACAACCAUCUAUCAUGGAAUUUGAUUCUCUCUUUGGUGUACAUGAAAGAAG
This 1153-nucleotide long non-coding RNA is filed under the name Meriones unguiculatus (Mongolian gerbil). Its description in RNAcentral is "lncRNA (ENSMUGG00000019262.1)". Lineage: Eukaryota; Metazoa; Chordata; Mammalia; Rodentia; Muridae. The record is from RNAcentral.